CAGGAAAAUCAUGUGGAGAGCAUGCCAACCACUUGAAAGAUAAGCAUGGUGUUCUUGGUGCCUGGGAACCAGGGAUCUGGGGAGGUGCUUCUCUGCUUCAAUGAAGGGGCUUAAGCUUGGACCACCAAACAGUGCCAACAAUGUGUGUAUGUUGUGCUUCUUUUCUGUCCAGGUUACCUUCAUUUUUAGGAAGGUUCUUUUUGGAAGUCCAUUCUACUGUCUUCACUGUGCCAAGAAGAGAUGGAAGGAAAAGUCUGGAGGAAAGUGAGAACAGAGAAAACCACUAGGUCUCUUGGGAUGAAGAAUAGAAGUCAGACAAAGGAGAACCCACUGACGUGGACCAUCAAGAUCAGCCCACCAGGGCAGAGACCAGAGUGGAAAAGGGACCUGGAGGAGCAGAAUGGAGACGCCGGGAGCACCAUUCAAUCUAAAGCAUGUUCCCGCUAUCAUCCUCAGAGAACCUUAUUCUUUCCUUUAAUUGCAGUUAGAACAAUUGAGAUUUAUUUAAUAGAAAUGUUUUAUUUACUUAUUUAAAACAAUGCCUGAAACACAGUAAGCGCUCAAUAAGCAUUAAUUAUCAGUAUUUUUUAUCUCUCGUAAGGGCCAGCAUGAGGAGAGAGGUGACCCAGAGGGCUGGCCAACCACUUCCUCUGCUGUGUGCUGUGUGAUCAGGAUGAAAUUCAGAAAAUUUCAUCUCAUGCUGUUUCUCCUGAGCUCUGCGCUCUAGACACACUGCCCUUCUCUCCAUUCCUUGAAGACAACAGCGAGCUCUUUCCACCUUGGAGUUUUCACACGCGACUUCCUCCUGCCUGGAGUGUCUCUCCUCCCCCGUUCUUCACAUGGCUGGCUCCCGCUCAUCCCGAAAGUCUAGCUUAAAUGUCACUUCCUCAGAGAGGCUUUCUAUUGCCAUCUGUAUCCAUCAGGGUCCUGGCAGGAAACAAUGGCACAUUCAAGUUAGGAUAAUUCAAGGAGGUUUCUAAAAGGACUAUGCAUAAAGGCAUGAAGCGAGGCAAAGGGGUGCCGCCAGGGAGAGGACAGAAACGCCCCUAGCCCAGAAGGAUGAAGGAGCAGGACAGA
Long non-coding RNA from Callithrix jacchus (white-tufted-ear marmoset), 1077 nucleotides. The record is from Ensembl. Lineage: Eukaryota; Metazoa; Chordata; Mammalia; Primates; Cebidae.